UACGAAGGGGGCUAGCGUUGUUCGGAAUUACUGGGCGUAAAGGGCGCGUAGGCGGUGUGUCAAGUCAGGCGUGAAAGCCCCGGGCUCAACCUGGGAACCGCGCUUGAGACUGGCACGCUCGAGUUCGGGAGAGGAUGGUGGAAUUCCCAGUGUAGAGGUGAAAUUCGUAGAUAUUGGGAAGAACACCGAUGGCGAAGGCAGCCAUCUGGACCGACACUGACGCUGAGGCGCGAAAGCGUGGGGAGCAAAUAGG
This 253-nucleotide ribosomal RNA is filed under the name uncultured bacterium. Its description in RNAcentral is "partial 16S ribosomal RNA". It matches the Rfam family "Bacterial small subunit ribosomal RNA", at positions 524 to 776 of the family's 1533-position model. The record is from RNAcentral.